This 252-nucleotide ribosomal RNA is filed under the name uncultured bacterium. RNAcentral's name for it is "partial 16S ribosomal RNA". It matches the Rfam family "Bacterial small subunit ribosomal RNA", at positions 524 to 776 of the family's 1533-position model. The record is from RNAcentral.
UACGGAGGGUGCAAGCGUUAUCCGGAUUCACUGGGUUUAAAGGGUGCGUAGGCGGGCAGGUAAGUCAGUGGUGAAAUCUCCGGACUUAACCCGGAACUGCCGUUGAUACUAUCUGUCUUGAAUAUCGUGGAGGUAAGCGGAAUAUGUCAUGUAGCGGUGAAAUGCUUAGAUAUGACAUAGAACACCCAUUGCGAAGGCAGCUUACUACACGAUCAUUGACGCUGAGGCACGAAAGCGUGGGGAGCAAACAGG